Molecule: long non-coding RNA, 2882 nt
Organism: Xiphophorus maculatus (southern platyfish)
Lineage: Eukaryota; Metazoa; Chordata; Actinopteri; Cyprinodontiformes; Poeciliidae
Exons: 3
Source: RefSeq, a predicted model, not a curated record
CUACAUCCGGUCUGUAAGGUUAUUAGCGGGAAGUAACGGAGAAUUCAACGAUAAAGCCCAAGAGGAAAAAUGGUUGAUGUGAGUGUGAACGCUGUGGGACGCACUUAGCACGUACAAAAUGGGGAGAAACAGGAAGCAGCUCUGGACCAAUCAGAGCGCAGCGCUUUGCCACUGCGAAGCCGACGCCUCAACGUGUUGCUGUGCCGUCGCCGUGGCAACGGGCUCAGCAGAUAAUCCCGUCAGACUCCUCGGUGUUUGCACACGGACGGCCUCCACCAGCUGGCGCCGCAAUCCGGUGGGGACGGCAGGACAGGAGGACGACCUUUGACCCCUCCACCCAGGUGAGGCCUGCUGCUCUUCAGGUCAGAUCUGAGUCUCCAUUUCCUGUUUCCACAAAGACGGGAGAACAAACCGGCAUCUGCCCCGGGUCGGGUUUCACCCCACAAAUACCCCCGGCAUAUUUACAGGCAGGCCGGGGCAUUAAGGGGUAAAUAUAGCUGCCCCGCCCGGCGAGGGGCAGGACAGCUGCAGGACGGCGUCCAUGUGAGAGCAGCUCCUCUGCUCACAGCCACUCCGUUUACCAAUCAAUAACUAAUAACGUUUACAACCAUCAGCUGAAACAGGAAAAUCUGCUGGAAGGACGAACGUACAACAGAAAACCCUGAAAUCUGGAGAAGAAUCUAAAAGAGUUCAAAGGUCAGCAGCCUGAAUGUGGCUGCGCAGCAGUCAGCAGGGAACACCGCAGCUUUAAGAACCGAGUUCAGUCUGGGAACGGUUCAGGUUGAAGUGUUUCCUUCCCGCCGUCAUCAAAACACAAACAGCUUUAGUCCAAGAACCAGAAGCUAUCGCUAAUGCUAACGCUAACCAGCAUUUAUUUGAUUUACAAUCCUGUAAACUUUGUUUUUUUAAAAGUGAAUGAAAAGUGAAGCCUGUUGCCUUUUAGCUCCCAUAAAUGUUUCCUCUGGAGUUUCAUUUAUUAAUAAAGUUUUGCUCAUUGAUCUUAUUUUAACACCAAAUUAUUAAUAAAUAAUAACUGCUAAACGUGAACCUGUUCAUAUUUAAUGUCUCUAAUUUGAAUGAACUGAAUUAAAGAGAAAAUGUUGAUAAAAAAAAAACGCUAAAAUUUUGGAAAUGUUUUAAUCCAGAAGGUCUGAAAUAAUCUGGAAUAAUUUUAGAUUAUCACAAUCCAGAGAUCUGUUAGCAUUAGCUUCACGUUUCAGAAAUCAGCCAAGAGUUUUCGGAGAGAAACGUUUUCCUUCCACUAAACUUUAUGCUUUGGUAGCAUUGACGAUAAGCUAGCAGCCAGAGAAGCAUUUUCAUUAGUAAUGAAACAAAAUAUUAUUAUUACAGUUUAUCAAUAUUAAUAUUGAUGUGAAUGUUUUAUUUAUAAAAUAAUGUCCAGAUUCCUCUUUAUGCUGCUGAAGUUUCAGAGCUAAAAUCGUUUUUAAGAAAAAACUCAAAGUUCAUUUUUUCUUAAAAUACGUGGAGAUUUAAGACAAAUGGAAACGAAACGUUUCUUAUUUAUUUAAACGAUAAAAAGUUUCAACAUUUAAAAAACGUAAAUUUAACGACAGAGAAUGAAGAGUUACUAAAAUUCAGAUGAUUAUUCCUGCUGGGCGAGGAAGAGGAGGAGGAGGAAGAGCUGAUCGGUACCGGCGAUCAACCUGCUGAUGAUCAGACGGGUUAACGGAUCAGAACCAUCAGAACCACAGAGGAAACAUUUAGAAUAUUAAAUAACCGGCUAAUAAUCCAUUAUUAACUGGAGCAGAAACUGAUCAAUAAAUCUGCUCAGCAGAACUCUGCUAGCUUUAGCUUCUGCUAAUAUCUGCUAUUGAUCCCAUCCAGUUAUCGAUUAGCUAAUCAGUAAUCAAUAACCAUCCACAGAUUCAUCAGAAAUCUGUUUAUUUUCUUAUUUGAAUGAAUUUCUAAUAUUAUAAAAAUGUUUAAAAUCUGCAGAAGUUAAUCAGAAUAAUCGAUCAAUUGGUAGAUUAUUGGUUAUCUGCGGCUACAGCUCUUCUUCCUUGGUUUCUCUGAUCGGACGCCGCGGCGUUCAGCUCUGUUGACCUCUGACCUGGUUGGAUCUCCAUCGCAACCUGAACAGGAGAAACUCAGUAUUCACUGACUUUGACUAGGUCGUUUUCCCAGAGGAGGCUCCACUGACCUCAGUCUGGCGGCCAUCUUGUUUUUGUUCUCUUCCUGGUCUGUUGUUUUCCUGCCAUGACCUUUGACCUGCAGAGUCUCAGGAUGGAGGACAGACUGGUGGGUUCCUUCACAAGGCUGAAGGUCAAAGGUCAUGGAGAAUCCAAGCUAACAGCUCCGUGUUUUGAACAGAAAAAAUUCAAACUUAAUAUUUCUGAUCGUUUGAAUUCUCUGCAGUUCUUAAUUUACGUGUUUUCGUAACUAUCCGAACGUUUUCCACGUGAACCAUCGUAUCAUAUCGCAUCGAAUCGUUUCGCAUCACAUCUCGAUAAACCAAAACGUUUUCAUCUGGAAACUCUGGAAAGAAUCAGAAAACAUCCCAGGUUCAUCUCACCAUCUGAGCUUUGACUAGGCCAUUCCAUGCCAUGAAUCUGCUGCGGCAUUUCCUCAUCCAUCCUCCCCAACACCGUGUUUCACACAUUAGUGUUGGUCAUAUGAAUGGAUGGAAUAAUUUGAUGUAUUUUAUUAAAAAGCUUUUAAUCUGAAACAUUUCAGUUUUUACUGAUAAAACUUGAUUUAAAAUAUUGAACAUUUCAUCAGAAAUGAACUUUUAAUCUUAGAUGAACCCAGAAUGUUCCCAUCAUAGACCCUGGUUCUGGUUCUGGUUCCUCCUCAGACCCAGCUGCAGUCUGACCGAACCGGACCGGACCGGGGAUCCAGUGUCUCCCUGACCCCGGGUCGCC